RNAcentral lists this ribosomal RNA (484 nucleotides) under uncultured bacterium. RNAcentral describes it as "partial 16S ribosomal RNA". It matches the Rfam family "Bacterial small subunit ribosomal RNA", at positions 30 to 507 of the family's 1533-position model. The record is from RNAcentral.
AUUGAACGCUGGCGGCAGGCCUAACACAUGCAAGUCGAGCGGAUGAAGGGAGCUUGCUCCUGGAUUCAGCGGCGGACGGGUGAGUAAUGCCUAGGAAUCUGCCUGGUAGUGGGGGAUAACGUCCGGAAACGGGCGCUAAUACCGCAUACGUCCUGAGGGAGAAAGUGGGGGAUCUUCGGACCUCACGCUAUCAGAUGAGCCUAGGUCGGAUUAGCUAGUUGGUGGGGUAAAGGCCUACCAAGGCGACGAUCCGUAACUGGUCUGAGAGGAUGAUCAGUCACACUGGAACUGAGACACGGUCCAGACUCCUACGGAAGGCAGCAGUGGGGAAUAUUGGACAAUGGGCGAAAGCCUGAUCCAGCCAUGCCGCGUGUGUGAAGAAGGUCUUCGGAUUGUAAAGCACUUUAAGUUGGGAGGAAGGGCAGUAAGUUAAUACCUUGCUGUUUUGACGGUACCAACAGAAUAAGCACCGGCUAACUUCGUG